Long non-coding RNA from Alosa alosa (allis shad), 1303 nucleotides. RefSeq lists it as uncharacterized. The transcript is spliced from 6 exons. The record is from RefSeq and is a predicted model, not a curated record. Lineage: Eukaryota; Metazoa; Chordata; Actinopteri; Clupeiformes; Clupeidae.
GGCAUUUGCCCGGUUGUACAGAUUACCAGUCCAGCCUGUGCUUGAGUCAACUUAGGCUAGCUAGCUGUCUGCAAAAGAGAACUAUGGCCUACUAUACUUUUGUGGUUGCCAUAGUCACUCUAUUCACAGUCAAGUAAAUGGUGCAGUGAAGUGCUUCCUGGUCCACAAGGCUAACAAUUAAGAGUCAUGGCACAGUUGAAUGCUCUCUGAGUGAAUACUGAAUACUGAGAGAUAAAAUGCAGGCUGGGACCUGUCAGGCUUUUGAGGUGUUUCGAGACAGAAACAGGACAGGAUGGACGUGUGGAAGUGUCUGACCCACCCCAUUCUGGUGCUGUUGGUCUAGACGUGCCCCUGGAUGUUUGGAACCAUUCUUCCCAACAGUGCUACUGCGAAAGUGCACUGAAUUGGGGCAGCGUAGGACAGAAUUUUCAAGAAUCUGUAGUCAUUCUGUGGUCUUCUCUGGAUUUUGGUCAGGAGGUGAACUGGUCAGCCAGUGUGUCCUGAAUGGAUGAGUGGCAUGCACUGGCUGGGCAGAGGAGAACCAACUAUGUCUGAGUGUGUGGUGAGUCAGCUAACCUUAAACAGAGCUGAGGUGGCUCCUGAGUCAGAUGGCAAGCCUGCCCUUGUCCAGUAUACCUCACCGUAUGUGUUCCCUUUAUGUAGACACUUGAAUUAGACAAAGCUACUGCAGAUAAAGCAUGUUUUUCUCGUCACUGCUUGAACUCCUUGAGAACCAAAACUAGUGAGUUUGAGAAGCUACAGUAUAGCGACCGUAACACAUUCCCACUCUUGGGCCAUAGGAACAGUACGUAUCUCUGAAGGAUGUAUUGUCAUGGUCAUUUCACAAGAUUUGAGGACGGUGACGGUGGAGCAGCUGUCACCGUGACGACGUGGUGGAAUGCUAGUCUCUUCUCUGAGGAAUGAGCGACCCCUCCUUCCUCCCCCUCUCUGCGUCCUUUGGUCCUCCACAAAAACGUUUGACUUGUCUGUCGAGGCCUCUCCGCGGCCUGUCCGGCUGCUACUUUACCAUUCGCCGUAAAAGAGUUUGGUAAACAAACGGAUUGGGAAGAAUUUCUAAUUGUAAACUUUGUACUCACGGAAACAAAGGCCUUGCCUCAGACCCCAGUGGGCAGGGUUUGACGUGGUUGAUCUCCACUAUACUGUGGAAUUUCCUUGUAAAAGCUGCUAAAGGAACAUCUCAUCUCCUAAAGCUUCUGUGGCAGUAAAGUCUCACAUCAAACUCACUGCACUAUGAGUCUGUUAUGGAACCUGGCCAAAAUAACGUUUAUAUGGAGUUGUGUAG